UCCCUCUCAGAGUCACAACUGGAGAGUUUCCAGUACUCUACCAGUCUCAACUAUGGGAGAGAGAGAGUCAGGCAGAGGCAUAUCCAUUCCAUCCCUAGUUUGGACAGUAGCUAGUGAAUGGAAGGCAAUUUGCUACAAGU
Molecule: small nucleolar RNA, 140 nt
Organism: Ornithorhynchus anatinus (platypus)
Lineage: Eukaryota; Metazoa; Chordata; Mammalia; Monotremata; Ornithorhynchidae
Source: RefSeq, a predicted model, not a curated record